Molecule: ribosomal RNA, 397 nt
Filed under: uncultured bacterium
Lineage: Bacteria
Description: bacterial SSU rRNA
Rfam family: Bacterial small subunit ribosomal RNA
Source: RNAcentral
AAUGAACGCUGGCGGCGCGCCUAAUACAUGCAAGUCGAGCGAGAAGACGUAGCAAUACGUUUGUAAAGCGGCGAACGGGUGAGGAAUACAUGGGUAACCUACCCUUGAGUGGGGAAUAACUAGCCGAAAGGUUAGCUAAUACCGCGUACGCUUCCUGGACUUCGGUUCAGGGAGGAAAGCGAUGCCGAGGGUAUCGCGCUCUUGGAUGGGCUCAUGUCCUAUCAGCUUGNGGUGAGGUAACGGCUCACCAAGGCUUCGACGGGUAGCUGGUCUGAGAGGACGAUCAGCCACACUGGCACUGCGACACGGGCCAGACUCCUACGGGAGGCAGCAGUAAGGAAUAUUGCGCAAUGGGCGAAAGCCUGACGCAGCGACGCCGCGUGGGGGAGUGAAGGUC